UAAUUGAAGAGUUUGAUCAUGGCUCAGAUUGAACGCUGGCGGCAGGCCUAACACAUGCAAGUCGGGCGGUAACAGGGAGAAGCUUGCUUCUCCGCUGACGAGCGGCGGACGGGUGAGUAAUGUAUGGGGAUCUGCCUGAUGGCGGGGGAUAACUACUGGAAACGGUAGCUAAUACCGCAUAAUGUCUUCGGACCAAAGCGGGGGACCUCCGGGCCUCGCG
This 220-nucleotide ribosomal RNA is filed under the name Morganella morganii. RNAcentral describes it as "partial 16S ribosomal RNA". It matches the Rfam family "Bacterial small subunit ribosomal RNA", at positions 1 to 217 of the family's 1533-position model. The record is from RNAcentral. Lineage: Bacteria; Pseudomonadati; Pseudomonadota; Gammaproteobacteria; Enterobacterales; Morganellaceae.